Molecule: ribosomal RNA, 374 nt
Filed under: uncultured eukaryote
Lineage: Eukaryota
Description: partial 18S ribosomal RNA
Rfam family: Eukaryotic small subunit ribosomal RNA
Source: RNAcentral
CAAGAGCGUAUGUAAAAGUUGUUGCAGUUAAAAAGCUCGUAGUUGAACCUUGGGUUUGGUUGGCCGGUCCGCUUUUUUGCGAGUACUGGAUUCAACCGAGCCUUUCCUUCUGGCUAACCAGUCGUUUCGGCGGCUGGCGAACCAGGAUUUUUACUUUGAGAAAAUUAGAGUGUUCAAAGCAGGCAUUAGCUUGAAUAUAUUAGCAUGGAAUAAUAGAAUAGGACGUUAUGGUUCUAUUUUGUUGGUUUCUAGGACCAUCGUAAUGAUUAAUCGGGACGGUCGGGGGCAUCAGUAUUCAGUUGUCAGAGGUGAAAUUCUUGGAUUUACUGAAGACUAACUACUGCGAAAGCAUUUGCCAAGGACGUUUUCAUUAA